RNAcentral lists this long non-coding RNA (275 nucleotides) under Brassica napus (rape). RNAcentral describes it as "long non-coding RNA (BNAP_LNC015177)". Lineage: Eukaryota; Viridiplantae; Streptophyta; Magnoliopsida; Brassicales; Brassicaceae. The record is from RNAcentral.
CUUCUCCUUUUGUGCAUGGAAUGGAUCAUCAGCUAAUUUAUCUUUUCUUAAAUACAUGGUAUCACAUGGAAACAAGCAUUGGAAGGUGAUCACACCGAAUUUGCAAGAUCACUGUUCUUCUAAUUGCAUAAUUUUUUUCUUCUUUCUGGGUUGUAAGCAACUGUGUCUUUUGGAAGAUCAGUAUAUAUAUUAAGGGAUUUAUUUGCAUUCUUGUCCUUACUUAUUAGAGUUCUUUUGUCCGUAAGAGUCUUGAGACUAUAAACCAAACGAAUUAU